Bubalus bubalis (water buffalo) is the source of this 460-nucleotide long non-coding RNA. RefSeq lists it as uncharacterized. The record is from RefSeq and is a predicted model, not a curated record. Lineage: Eukaryota; Metazoa; Chordata; Mammalia; Artiodactyla; Bovidae. The transcript has 3 exons.
GAGAGGAAAUUAAACAUGUCUAGGUUGAUUUGGCCUUGAUUUACCUGUUGAAAAUGAAAGGAUAUUUCACAUUCUGAACAACGUGCCCUUCAUGACAAGUUCACCGCUUCGUCGGAAGAAUCCAGAAAAUUAAUAGGUCGCAUUCCACUAUUCAUUCAGCAUAGAUCAUUCAAAUUCUGCAGCGAUGCGCUGGGAUCCCCAUGCUGAACGGCCCUGCGUUCUUCCGAGCGGCCCCUCUGCAGUGUUAUGGGAAACAUGCCACCGCUUUACACAGUCCACAGUCCUUCAAGACUUGGGUGAAAAAGGCCUGAGCCAUGCACUGGAAGGUAGGAAACUGAAAAUCAGAGAAGGAACACAUGCCUUGCCUGAGGUCACAACAUGAGGAAGUAGGACAGGCCGGAUCCAAAACAGGGCUUCUCAACACCAAGGCCACAGGCUCUCCAUGCACAGAGCUGCCCAU